CGUAUACUCGACAUGCCGUCGUGUAGUACGAAUGGGGCGACAGGACGUCGCCCCAAGCCGAGGGGGCACAGGACGUGCCCUCCGAGGCGGUUCGUACGGAACAGGCAGGUCGAGUAUACGC
Molecule: non-coding RNA, 121 nt
Organism: Dethiosulfovibrio salsuginis
Lineage: Bacteria; Thermotogati; Synergistota; Synergistia; Synergistales; Dethiosulfovibrionaceae
Source: Rfam